CCCGAAAUUUUUUGUUCCACCUUAUAGUGAACUAUCAUUAAGAUUGGUUCCAUUUCACUCCAAAAAACAUGCCGGACAAAAUAGGUGGAAGUAUAACUAGAUUUGCCAUUGCAAGCAAUAGCGGAUGGCACCCUUCCCCUAUUGCCAGGUGAGCGGUAGCCAUGGUUACGGCGGCCAUUUUGAAAUUCCAAACUCAAAAAUCAAGUCUACAUUAGCUGAGCAACAUUUGUUUUAAAUUUCAAUAAAUUUGAAGCAUUUUGAAGUUUUUCGUAUAUUUGCUGUUUCCAUGGUAACGGCGGCCAUUUUGAAUAUUCCAAAGUCAAACCCCCGCUGCAAUUUUUUUCCUCCACAAUCAUAUACCAUUUAAUGUCUCUAGAAUAAAUUAAACAUUGAUGUUCUAGAAUGUUCUGUGAAAAUUCAAAGUUUUGACCUUUUUGCAUUGUUUCCAUGGUAACAACAGCGAUUUUGGAAAUUUCAACGCCAAAUUCCACAUCUUCCAAUGUUGCUCAUCGUUGCUGUGAAGUUUCAUUAAGUUUGGAACAUUUUGAGAUUUUUGAAAUUUUUGGAGUAGUUUCCAUGGCAACAUAGUAGUUCCAAUGAGUGCCAAAAAUCAUCCAACACCUGUAUAUAGUGGGCACCUACAUUGUAUUAAAUAUAAUGAUUCUGAGUUAAUAGUAUCCAAAUCGUUCACCAAAACAAAAAAACUGGAUUUUUUCACAUUUGUUCCGUUUCCAUGGUAACGGCAGCCAUCUUGAAAGUGCCAACCCCAAAAAGCAAAUCUUCAUCUGGUGGUUAACAUAAUGGUAUAGUACCAUCUUGUUGGGUCCAUUCACAUUAGAGUUCCAGACUGGACAAAAAUGUGUGGAAGAAAAAUAAUAAUAACUAGAUUUGCCAUUGCAAGCAAUAGCGGAUGGCACCCUUCCCCCAUUGCCAGGCGAGCGGCAGCCAUUUUGAAAAUUCCAAAAUCAUAGAGUGCAUCUACUCAUGCCAAUUGUCAAUUUUGUAAAGUUUCAUUAAGUUUGGAGAAAUUUUGAAAUUUUUGAAAUUUUUGCUGUUCCCAUGGAAACGGCGGCCAUUUUGAAUAUUCCAAAGUCAAACCCCCGCUGCAAUUUUUUCCCUCCAUUAUCAUAUAUACCAUCAUAUACCAUUUAAUGUCUCUAGAAUACAUUUAACAUUGAUGUUCUGGAAUGUUCUGUAAAAAUUCAAAGUUUUGACCUUUUUGCAUUGUUUCCAUGGUAUCUACAGAUAUUUUGGAAAUUCCAACGCCAAAUUCCACAUCUUCCAAUGUUGCUCAUCGUUACUGUGAAGUUUCAUAAAGUUUGGAGCAUUUUGAUAUUUUUGAAAUUUUUGGUUUAGUUUCCAUGGCAACAUAGUAGUUCCAAUGAGUGCCAAAAUCAUCCAACACCUGUAUAUAGUGGGCACCUUCAUUGUAUUAAAAUAUAAUGAUUCUGAGUUAAAGCAUAUUCAAACAGUUCACCAAAACAAAAACAGAAUUUUUCACAUUUGUUUCGUUUCCAUGGCAACGGCAGCCAUCUUGAUGGUGCCAUACCCCACUGCACUAUAGAAUGUGGUGGUCUACAUUAUGCUAUAGUUCCAUCAAUAUUGUUGAAGCCAAUUCCGAGAAAUAGAAUGGACAAAAAAGUGUGGAAGAAUAAAUAUAAUAAUAAGAAUAAUAAGAAAAAAAGAAACGAACAAUAACAAUAUGUCACCCCAACUCCGUUGAGGGUGCCAUAAUAAUAACUAGAAUUGCCAUUGCAAGCAAUAGCGGAUGUCACCCUUCCCCCAAUUGCCACUAAGCGGCAGCCAUUUCAGAAUCGUUUAACAGUGAAUGCACAUAUAUGCAUGGCAAUACAUCUUUCUGUAAAUUUUCAGUACAUUCACAGCAUUUUAAAAAUUUCACAUUUCUGCCGUUUCCAUGGCAACGGCAGCCAUUUUGAAAAUUUCAAAGUCAAAAGCCUCUUCAUUACUUGUCAGUUAACAAUAAUAUCA
RNAcentral lists this long non-coding RNA (1989 nucleotides) under Mytilus galloprovincialis (Mediterranean mussel). Lineage: Eukaryota; Metazoa; Mollusca; Bivalvia; Mytilida; Mytilidae. The record is from RNAcentral.